RNAcentral lists this long non-coding RNA (201 nucleotides) under Elaeis guineensis (African oil palm). RNAcentral describes it as "long non-coding RNA (EGUI_LNC029549)". Lineage: Eukaryota; Viridiplantae; Streptophyta; Magnoliopsida; Arecales; Arecaceae. The record is from RNAcentral.
UGCGCCCAAAUGUUCUUUAAAGAUGUCAUUUUUUUGAUGCUUGUUGGUGUCCCACUGCUACUUUGCUAUUUGUCUAAUUAAAGAUCUUCUCUUGCAUCUCUUCAUGUAGCUUCUUUAUCUCCUUAAUAUGUGUUCAUCAGCAUCUCCACUAAAUUGUUAUGUUGAUGAUAGAGUUGCAAGGUCCAAUAGGCUCAAAGGAUA